RNAcentral lists this ribosomal RNA (253 nucleotides) under uncultured bacterium. RNAcentral describes it as "partial 16S ribosomal RNA". It matches the Rfam family "Bacterial small subunit ribosomal RNA", at positions 524 to 776 of the family's 1533-position model. The record is from RNAcentral.
UACGGAGGGUGCAAGCGUUAUCCGGAUUCACUGGGCUUAAAGGGUGCGUAGGUGGGUUGAUAAGUCAGUGGUGAAAUCUCCGAGCUUAACUUGGAAACUGCCAUUGAUACUAUUAGUCUUGAAUACCGUGGAGGUUAGUGGAAUAUGUCAUGUAGCGGUGAAAUGCUUAGAUAUGACAUAGAACACCCAUUGCGAAGGCAGCUGACUAGACGGUGAUUGACACUGAGGCACGAAAGCGUGGGGAUCAAACAGG